This 284-nucleotide long non-coding RNA is filed under the name Homo sapiens (human). Its description in RNAcentral is "HSALNT0134017". Lineage: Eukaryota; Metazoa; Chordata; Mammalia; Primates; Hominidae. The record is from RNAcentral.
CCUUUUGCUCCAGCCCCGUUCCAGGCCUUUUGCUUCACACAUCCAGGGGGAGCCAGAAGAAAGCCCCCAGCCUGGCUGGGAGGGGGCUGGGGGUGGGCCCAACCUGUUCUGGAGGGGAACUAGCACAAUGGUGCGGCUGGCCGGGCGUUUAUGGCCUGGCUGAGGCCCCAUUCAGGACUCAGGGAAGGUGGCAAAGCGGUCCUUUCCCCCUUGAAGUGCCCCCUCACCCCCCUGGGAGGGGGGGCCAGCAGGCCGGACCACAGCCAUGCUUGAGGGGCUGUCUG